This 497-nucleotide ribosomal RNA is filed under the name uncultured bacterium. RNAcentral's name for it is "partial 16S ribosomal RNA". It matches the Rfam family "Bacterial small subunit ribosomal RNA", at positions 28 to 507 of the family's 1533-position model. The record is from RNAcentral.
GAUGAACGCUGGCGGCGUGCCUAAUACAUGCAAGUCGAGCGAACAGACGAGGAGCUUGCUCCUCUGACGUUAGCGGCGGACGGGUGAGUAACACGUGGAUAACCUACCUAUAAGACUGGGAUAACUUCGGGAAACCGUAGCUAAUACCGGAUAAUAUAUUGAACCGCAUGGUUCAAUAGUGAAAGACGGUUUUGCUGUCACUUAUAGAUGAAUCCGCGCCUCAUUGGCUAGUUGGGAAGGUAACGGCUUACCAAGGCGACGAUGCGUAGCCGACCUGAAAGGGUGAUCGGCCACACUGGACCUGAGCCACGGUCCAGACUCCUACGGGAGGCAGCAGUAGGGAAUCUUCCGCAAUGGGCGAAAGCCUGACGGAGCAACGCCGCGUGAGUGAUGAAGGUCUUCGGUUCGUAAAACUCUGUUAUUAGGGAAGAACAAAUGUGUAAGUAACUAUGCACGUCUUGACGGUACCUAAUCAGAAAGCCACGGCUAACUACGUG